RNAcentral lists this ribosomal RNA (253 nucleotides) under uncultured bacterium. Its description in RNAcentral is "partial 16S ribosomal RNA". It matches the Rfam family "Bacterial small subunit ribosomal RNA", at positions 524 to 776 of the family's 1533-position model. The record is from RNAcentral.
UACAGAGGGUGCAAGCGUUAAUCGGAAUUACUGGGCGUAAAGCGUGCGUAGACGGUUACAUAAGUCGGGUGUGAAAGCCCCGGGCUCAACCUGGGAAUGGCAUUCGAGACUGUGUAGCUAGGAUGCGGAAGAGGGAAGCGGAAUUUCCGGUGUAGCGGUGAAAUGCGUAGAUAUCGAGAGGAACACCUGCGGCGAAGGCGGGUUGCUGGGCUGACACUGACGCUGAUGCGCGAAAGCCAGGGGAGCAAACGGG